RNAcentral lists this ribosomal RNA (473 nucleotides) under uncultured organism. Its description in RNAcentral is "partial 16S ribosomal RNA". It matches the Rfam family "Bacterial small subunit ribosomal RNA", at positions 335 to 799 of the family's 1533-position model. The record is from RNAcentral.
ACUCCUGCGGGAGGCAGCAGUGGGGAAUUUUGGACAAUGGGCGAAAGCCUGAUCCAGCCAUGCCGCGUGCAGGAUGAAGGCCUUCGGGUUGUAAACUGCUUUUGUACGGAACGAAACGGCCUUUUCUAAUAAAGAGGGCUAAUGACGGUACCGUAAGAAUAAGCAUCGGCUAACUACGUGCCAGCAGCCGCGGUAAUACGUAGGGUGCAAGCGUUAAUCGGAAUUACUGGGCGUAAAGCGUGCGCAGGCGGUUAUGUAAGACAGUUGUGAAAUCCCCGGGCUCAACCUGGGAACUGCAUCUGUGACUGCAUAGCUAGAGUACGGUAGAGGGGGAUGGAAUUCCGCGUGUAGCAGUGAAAUGCGUAGAUAUGCGGAGGAACACCGAUGGCGAAGGCAAUCCCCUGGACCUGUACUGACGCUCAUGCACGAAAGCGUGGGGAGCAAACAGGAUUAGAAACCCUAGUAGUCCCAUG